Helianthus annuus (common sunflower) is the source of this 429-nucleotide long non-coding RNA. RefSeq lists it as uncharacterized. NCBI's taxonomy places the organism in Eukaryota, Viridiplantae, Streptophyta, Magnoliopsida, Asterales, Asteraceae. The record is from RefSeq and is a predicted model, not a curated record. The transcript has 3 exons.
GGUUAGGCGCGCUCCAUAUCCUGCUCCAAAUCCUAUUAUGACCCGACUAUAUUUAUACGCAGUUAUGUAAUUUGUUUUCCAAAACCCUAGAGAACCAUCUCCGUUUUCCUUCAUCUCCAUCUCCAUUCUGGUUCAAAGGAUCAAGCAUGAGGGUUUCACCGUCUUCUCCCUCUCUUCGCAUCGCCUCUCAAACAUCUUCAUCCAAGAUUGGAUCACCGAUGAUAGCAGAUUCUCUACAAACACAAAUCAGUUGUUGAUAAACAAUGAAUUUUAGGGAUAAUAAUAAAGAUGAAAGGUCCGAUAGAGAUCUUUGAAACCGUUUCUUCGUACCGGCAGUUGGUACCGUAUCACAAUUUAGUUGAGACAUUGAUAAAAAGAUAAAUUUGUUUCAUCUGAUGUAUUAUUUUUUGUUUAUAUGUGAGCAGGUUG